Molecule: long non-coding RNA, 368 nt
Filed under: Phoenix dactylifera (date palm)
Lineage: Eukaryota; Viridiplantae; Streptophyta; Magnoliopsida; Arecales; Arecaceae
Description: long non-coding RNA (PDAC_LNC020682)
Source: RNAcentral
CGGAGGAGACGGAUGAGAGGGAGGAGGGCUCGGAGGUGCUCUUACAAAGAGGAAGAUAGGGGUUUUAUCGCCCCAUUUCAACGGCUCCCCGCCGCGAUUUUCACGGCGGUGGGGCGAGAUCAAUGGCCUCUCUUGCGGCCGCGGGGUGGACGCGGACCCUCCGUGGUGCCGCCGCGGUGUAGCGGCGUCCUUGUGCCCGGAGAUGUCGGAGGGGAUCGCGUCUGCGAUCCCCUGUUCUGCCCCUUCCAAAAGGGGUGUUGGGCUGAAGUCGGUUGGGGCUGCCGGCUUCAGCCCAGUAUCUCACAUUCUCUCCCCCUUAAAAGUCGUCCUAAGGUCGAGUGUUCGAUCCUCUCUCACCCCAUCAGUGG